UACGAAAAAAGCUAGCGUUGUUCGGAAUUACUGGACGUAAAGCGUGCGUAGGCGGCUUUGUCAGUCAGAGGUGAAAUCCCAAAACUCAACCUCGGAAUUGCCUUUGAUACUACGAAGCUUGAAUGCGAGAGAGGGUGGUGGAAUAUCCAAUGUAGAGAUGAAAUUCGUAGAUAUUGGAUGGAACACCAAUAACGAAGGCGGCCACCUGGCUCGUUAUUGACACUGAAACACGAAAGCAUAAAAAGCAAACAGG
This 253-nucleotide ribosomal RNA is filed under the name uncultured Novispirillum sp. Its description in RNAcentral is "partial 16S ribosomal RNA". It matches the Rfam family "Bacterial small subunit ribosomal RNA", at positions 524 to 776 of the family's 1533-position model. Lineage: Bacteria; Pseudomonadati; Pseudomonadota; Alphaproteobacteria; Rhodospirillales; Novispirillaceae. The record is from RNAcentral.